Apis mellifera (honey bee) is the source of this 2142-nucleotide long non-coding RNA. RefSeq lists it as uncharacterized. The transcript is spliced from 2 exons. The record is from RefSeq and is a predicted model, not a curated record. Lineage: Eukaryota; Metazoa; Arthropoda; Insecta; Hymenoptera; Apidae.
AGAAAAUCUACGUAAUAAAUUAUAGACACGAAGGAUGAAAAUUUGAUAAUGGAGUGUUUAGAUUCUCGAUUGGAGGGACAAUCUUAUUUAAAUGCAAGGAUUUAUGGGUAAUCUCUGAGACAUUUCUAUUUGAAGGAGAGGCUUUCGGUAAAACCGGAAGAUGUACGAUAACAGGCUAUAAAAGUGACUUUGAUUAAUGCGUAAUAGUUUUUAGACCACGUAAAUUCGUUCGCUUCUCUCUUGUCGAUCCUUCAAACACUUUAAAUCCACUUUGAAUUUUAACUAACAAUAGUAAUAUCACGACUUAACAAUUCAAUUUUGAUAGAGAGUUUAGUAUUGAUAAAAAUAAUAAAAUACUUAAUUUAAUAAUUUCCUCGUCGAUUCAGCGUAAAUAAUAACUAGAAAUUAUAAUUUUCCGAGAAUUUGAUCCUCCAAGUGAUCUUUCCUCCAAGAACGAGGUCUACGAGGUGCAACGAACUUAAAUUGGUCGUAAUUCGUUCCAUAAAGAUAAGUUGUACGUGAGUCGAAUGACGAAUGAUCCUCAGUCGCUUUACUUUCCACGGCGUGAACGAUUAAACUACCUACGAAACGGGACGACACUCGAGCAUCCCCCUAAAACGAACAAAAGAGAAGGUCGUGACCUGGACAAGCGCUACUUCUCGAGAUGCUUAAACCAUACAUAUGUAACACGAGUGUCUGAAGAUCGAUGAGCAACUUAUCUCGUCGUCUUCUCCAAGAAUCGAGUGGUUAUCGGUGAGAAGAGAAAGAGCCGAUUUUCACGGUUAUCCCGAUCAUUCGGCCUCGAAAACCGCCUUUUUCCACGGCUCGAGCGUAGGGGAAUCGAGCGUGAGCCAGGUGAGCGCGCUUUGAAAUGGAAAUUGGCACCGGUCUCUUGGAUUCUGGACUAACGACACGGCAAAUCGAAUUACCAGCAGGGUCGAUCGGACCACGACGCGGCCGAUUUCGCUAUCCCUUUGAAUACUCCCCCCCAAGAGCAACGAUUAAUCGAAUCUCGAAUUAACGAGGCCCCCGAAACGGGUAUUUUUUCUCUCUGAAGAUGAAAUGGAUUUCAAAAAGUUGGAAGGAAACAAUUUCUCUUUUAAAUUCUUCGUUAAAAUCGAUCGAAAAAUUAAUCAUCAAUUCCAAAUUGUGUGCUUGUAUUUCAUUUUCUCGACCGAUUUUCGUCGUAUAAAGAAAUUGUUGUGUAUCGGUCGAUUCUUCGAUCUCAUCGAAGAAACGAAAUUUCUUCGACUCUUUCGGUCGAGCGUCCUUCGGGUGUGGAUCUUUGGGAGAGAUCCAUCCGCAAUGAAAGUUCGGUUAUGUAUUUGGCAAAUACUGGCGGUAACCUUGAAGGACGAGCGAUAUUGAAAUACUUGCGAGCUGGAUAUUCAAGAUGCAAGAUAGCUUCAUAGUUAUUUUCAAUAAAACGGCGAUGCGUGCGUGCGAUGUUAAUGUGUUAUUGGAUAUCGAUUUUAUAUUCUAAAGUAGUAAGCAGCCCCCGCUACUAUUCUCCGAAAAUCUGUAUCCGGUAUUUAGUAAUUGGCAUCCUACCAACUGAUUGAAAUAGUUUCUCGCGUUAUCGCACAUUGAUUUCUCCGUUAAACGGAUUAAAACGGAUGAUAAAAGAGUUGGAAUUUUUCCACGAUCAUAACUUUUUUCCCUUCUUUUUAUUAUCGAAAUAAUAAUGGAGAUGGAAUUACAAUUACUUGCGUUGGAAUUAAUUAAAAAAUAUCUUGUAAUUAAAAUCGGUUCACACCAGAUUCCCUGGCUAUAAUAAAAAUUAUAUAAUUUAAAUUUUUGUCAUUGAAAAAUUGGUUCUUUGAUUUGUCUCGAGUUCUAUUGGAUAUCGUAAGUUGUUUAUUAUUCUGGAGUCUGUCAGAGUGUGGGAUAGGUUAGUGAAACGAGCGAAAGGUCAGAGAAAGCGAAAGAAGAUGGAUGAUGGUGAAUGAACGAAAAUUAUUCUUUCCUUUGCACGACGAUAUCUCGCAAGUCAAAAUUUCUUUAAUAUUAGAUUCUCCUGAUAUUUUUAGCAUUUCCACGAAUAAAUAAUAUUAGAUUUUGACUUCUUCCACCUUCGUUAAUUAUACUUUUAUUAAGAAAUUUAUUUUAUCCAAGACCAGGAAUAGGAUGAACAGUAUAUCC